CACGUAGGCACCAAGCGUUGUCCGGAUUUACUGGGCGUAAAGAGCGCGCAGGCGGUCGUUCAAGUCGAGUGUGAAAGCCCCCGGCUCAACUGGGGAGGGUCACUCGAUACUGAUCGACUUGAAGGCAGGAGAGGGAAGCGGAAUUCCCGGUGUAGUGGUGAAAUGCGUAGAUAUCGGGAGGAACACCAGUGGCGAAGGCGGCUUCCUGGCCUGUUCUUGACGCUGAGGCGCGAAAGCUAGGGGAGCAAACGGG
RNAcentral lists this ribosomal RNA (253 nucleotides) under uncultured bacterium. RNAcentral describes it as "partial 16S ribosomal RNA". It matches the Rfam family "Bacterial small subunit ribosomal RNA", at positions 524 to 776 of the family's 1533-position model. The record is from RNAcentral.